GGCAAAGUGAAUCCUGAGGCCUCCCCUGGCAUUCCAGAGCAUGGCAAGUGCAGAAGCUGCCCUGUCUGGGACAUAUCACAGUGGCGCUGAAGACAGAGGUGAGCAGAUUCCUCAGGCCCAAGAGCUAGACACAUUCAUUUUGUUACACAAGGUUUGAAAAGAACAGAUGUGGUGCCUAAAGAUUUAUCUUGAGUAAUGCAAGAAAACUUAGUGCAUGCUGGCAUUUGAAAAUACCCACAUGCCAUAGUCCUUUGGGGAUCAUGUGUCCUGACCCAUAUGUGUCCUAGAUUUCAGGGUGCUCUUCCAGUCCAGCAAGAUUCUAUGACUGGCAAAUUGAGCUUCAAAGGAAUGAGUGAGCAGCCAGCCACAGUUACUUAAAGUUGGCAUCACUGGUAUCUAGGCCUGAGCAGGAACUCUAGGAAUAACUGGAAUGAUUGAGAUUAAGUCUCAGCCAGGCACAAUGGUGUAUACCUAUAAUACCAGUGGCUUGGGAGGCUGAGGCAGGAGAAUCCCUAGUUGAAAGCCAGCCUCAACAACUUAGCAAGGCUCUAAGUAAAUAAGUGAGAUCCUGUCUCAAAAUAAGAAAUAAAAAAAUGGGCUGAGCCUGUGGUUUACUGAUUAAGCACCCCUGAGUUCAAUUCCUGGCACACACAAAAAAGUAAUUAAGUAUGGAAUCUUGAUCACUGAUAAGUGUCAAUAUUCUAGAGCCUUUAUGAAAGAGCAGAAAUGUUCAGUUUUCAAGUCUCUGCUCUGCACACAGAGAAUACAAGAAAGAUACAAUCCAGUGAGUUCUCAGCUGAGAAACUUUUGAUUCAACUUUGAAACCAUGGUUUGGGACUGUCUAUAGCCCUUGCAAUAAUCAACAAAUUUUAAGACUUAUUGUAUCUUUAUGGUUAUAUUAUUGAAUUUGUAUUUUACAACCACCAUUUUUGUGGAACGACAAGAAAAAUUAGCAAGUAGAGAUUACACCCAAAUAGGAAAGUCUAGAAUUUUCUUUACAUUGUUUUUGGAGGUCUUGGAUCAAUAAGUAGACUCUAAAGGUUUAGAUUUAGAAUUAUAUAGGUUUUUAAAACCAUGACACUUUUUUUUAUACCAGGGAUUAAACCCAGGGGCAAUUAACCACUGAGUCACAUCCCAAGUCCUUUUUAAAAUAUAUUUUAUUAUAGGGUCUUACUAAGUUGCUUAGGUCCUCACUAAGUUGCCGAGGUUGGCUUUGAGUCAAGACCCUUAUGCCUCAGGCUCCCAAGCUGCUGGGAUUGCAGUCUGUACCACCAUGUCCAGCCCAUAACACAUUUUAUAGCAAAAAUAUAAAACAUUUUCACAUCUAGAAUGGGAUAAGGAAAAUCAUCUUCAGGCAAUGCUUAUCAACUCGUGGGCACUGAUGGGAUCAUUCAAAGUGGUUUCCAUGUGCCAGCAGUGUUCAAGACGCUAGGGACAUAGUGAUUCUCAGGCCAAAGUCGCUGUCCUCACCAAAUAUAUUCCUAUGGGGGGAAAACAAUAGAAAAGUCAGAAAAAUCUAUAAUUUGAGGCAAUAAAUGACGUUUAGAUCAAUAAAGUUAAGAAGGAGGAUCAAGAAUGAUUGAGUGGGAUAAUGACACUUUUCCUUGGCUGGUCCUUUCUCAUAGGUGUUUCUCUGACUACUCUAGGGAAAGUAGCAUCCCAGCCUAUUCCUCUCCAUCAUUAUAUGAAAUUCUAGUCUUCAUAUGUUUUCAGAGCCUAUGACUCUGCUGGGGAAGCCCUCCUCAGAGAGCAGGUGUGAAUGGGGGUUCCCUUCCAUACUUUGUAUUUUGUCUCAACUCUUCCAGUCUCCUGGGGGCCUCAUUCCUGAGGUUUUGCCACACUUCCUUCAGGGGACUCUCAUGCUUCAUUGCCACAACCAGAAGAAUAAAGCCUUGCAAUAAGUCAGGGCAUGAUUUCUAGUGCUGUUGUCAGUGCAGCAAAACUGGGGGACAUUUUACAAGGCAGAUGAAACCCUGCAGAUGGAAAGUCACUGUGAUGACAUGACACAUGACAGUGAGGGGUGGGGGUGACUAUACAGCAAUAUCAGCCUUGGCUGUUGUCAUGAUAACAACUCCCCAGGGCUUUCUGUAGUCUCUGAUAUCCUCUGCUUGGCCUGCUUGGCAAGCUCUGAUUGCAGCUCAUUGUUGAAAUGGGACGCUGGAACAUGACCAUAGUGGCAUUCUCCUUAUCAUUUUAUCACCAUAGACACUCUUUGAUGAAGGGUGUGCGGAUUGUAUUUUGAAUGUAUAUUACCAAGGUGUGGUAGGAAUCAUAGGGUGUUACAGGAACAAUGAAAAUAAAAGCUGGGAAGUGAGGAAUUCCCCUCCCCAAUAUAGGGAAAUAAUUAAUAAAAAGUAUGAAAGAGAAGCUAAUACAUGUGGAGAAUACGUCCCUGUAAUCUAUAUUCUGUCUAAUGUGAAAUCCAGAUGGAAAAAAGUGACAGAACAGAGGACAGACAUGAAAUACUAUGAAAAAUUUCCCCUAAAUAAAUGUCAAAGAAGGACAGUUUUGCAUUAAGCUUGGAGACAUGCUUCUGAGAUAUGUGUAUUGAAUAGAGUGAUUGGGUUUCUGGAA
This 2574-nucleotide long non-coding RNA is filed under the name Marmota monax (woodchuck). Lineage: Eukaryota; Metazoa; Chordata; Mammalia; Rodentia; Sciuridae. The record is from RNAcentral.